RNAcentral lists this unclassified non-coding RNA (559 nucleotides) under Hevea brasiliensis (rubber tree). Lineage: Eukaryota; Viridiplantae; Streptophyta; Magnoliopsida; Malpighiales; Euphorbiaceae. The record is from RNAcentral.
AGAGGUAUUCCUGGUGCAUUUAGGCCUCGCCUUCCUACGAAACCUGGUGCCAGAAGUUUCCAGUGGAAGCGAGAUGCUAAAGGCAUCCCAGCUGAGAGGGGGGCUCUAGUCUCAGGGAGCACUCUUGUGUCCCCUACUGGCAGGAGUCUCACCUAUGUCCGAACAGAGCCUAAAACCUGAUGAGAAUUCGGUUACCACUUUAUAGAACAAUGCAUAUUUUCCUUUGCCCAAAUGUUCACUCGUCAGAUUGCGUUGGAAUGUACCAAUCGUGACUGCAGCGAAGAGAGAUGGAAAUUUGUGAAUAGCAAGAGAGAUUCUCUUGCUUGUUAGAGUAUCGAUCUUUUGUAUUUGGUGAAGGAUGUGCCUGAAUUGGUGGAAAUGUAAAGGAGUGGAGUGACAUGGAAGAGUGUCUUUAGCAAAUAUUUUAUUCUUCAUGGGGCUGGGGUUUUUGACAAAUGCAAUGGGGAAGAGACAAGGGACUCUGGCUGCCAAGUUUUCUGGUCCCUGAGUGAUUUAUACCAUUAGAUGGAAAUUUGUGAAUAGGAUGGAUGACGCAGUG